Protopterus annectens (West African lungfish) is the source of this 1074-nucleotide long non-coding RNA. RefSeq lists it as uncharacterized. The record is from RefSeq and is a predicted model, not a curated record. The transcript has 2 exons. NCBI's taxonomy places the organism in Eukaryota, Metazoa, Chordata, Ceratodontiformes, Protopteridae.
CUUAAAGUUCAGUAGAUUAUAAUAGGUUAGUUGGCCCACGCUACAUAGAAUAGCUAUCAGUUGCUUAAUGUAAGAGGAACAUUGUAAGGAAGAAAAAGCAAACAGGAGAGCUGCAAAUAGAGAAAUGAGUGGCUGCCUGUCAAAUCGUUAACACGCAGAUGAUAAAAAUAUCUUCUUGGAAUGUGUAAGCCAUCCCAUUCCCAUAAGGUCUAAGUCAAUCAUAGCACAGAAGAGUAAUGAAAGAAGGACAGUUGUCUCUGACAGAAGACAAAUGUGUCACACUGAGUAUUUAAAAUGUCUGGCAUUUGAUUUAACAUGGACAAGGUUCUAAUAAAAAAAAUGAAAAUUAGAAGACAGUGAAGAAAAUGACGCUAGAACGUCGAACGAUGCUUUGCCCAGCGCCCGCACAUCAUGAGUGGAUACCUCAACUAGUUCCUUAAUCGGCACAGGUUCUUCUAAAGCUAAAUUAAAAACUAUCGUUCGUCAUUAUGAUGAAGAUUGUUUGUCAUUCUGCUUUAUAUCCAGUGAAGAAAAUCAUCCACGUCCCACAUGCAUAAUUUGUGGUGAAAAAUUACCAAACCAAGCGAUGGUGCCAAGUAAAUUAAAAAGACAUUUGCAGUCUAAACAUUCUCACUUGUGCACAAAGCUGGUUGAAUAUUUUAAAAGAUUUGUACUGGAAAAGACUAAUCAAGCAAAAAGACUGUCUAAAUUUGUAAUGGUAUCAAAAAAAGCACAAUAAACAACUCUCGCAAUCGCAGAAAUUAUUGCUAAAAAUGAAAUCUCACACAAUUGCAGAAUCUGUAAUUUUACCAGCAUGCUGUAAAUUUGUAAACAUCAUGUUUCGCAAAUAAUACGAAGAGAAGGUUUUAAAAAUUCCAAUGUCAGAUAACACCAUUUGUCAACGUAUUCAGGAUUUGUCCCAAGAUGUUGAAUUGCAAGUGAUAUCGCAUGUUUGCUAUUCAGCUGGAUGAAUCAACUGAUGUCACUAGCAAAGCUCAUCUCAGCUUCUAGCAUUCAGUAGAUUUAUUUAUAAAGAAGAGAUUAUAGAACAGUUUUUAUUUUGUCGACCACUCA